RNAcentral lists this ribosomal RNA (497 nucleotides) under uncultured bacterium. RNAcentral's name for it is "partial 16S ribosomal RNA". It matches the Rfam family "Bacterial small subunit ribosomal RNA", at positions 28 to 507 of the family's 1533-position model. The record is from RNAcentral.
GAUGAACGCUGGCGGCGUGCCUAAUACAUGCAAGUCGAGCGAACAGACGAGGAGCUUGCUCCUCUGACGUUAGCGGCGGACGGGUGAGUAACACGUGGAUAACCUACCUAUAAGACUGGGAUAACUACGGGAAACCGGAGCUAAUACCGGAUAAUAUAUUGAACCGCAUGGUUCAAUAGUGAAAGACGGUUUUGCUGUCACUUAUAGAUGGAUCCGCGCCGCAUUAGCUAGUUGGUAAGGUAACGGCUUACCAAGGCGACGAUGCGUAGCCGACCUGAGAGAGUGAUCGGCCACACUGGAACUGAGACACGGUCCAGACUCCUACGGGAGGCAGCAGUAGGGAAUCUUCCGCAAUGGGCGAAAGCCUGACGGAGCAACGCCGCGUGAGAGAUGAAGGUCUUCGGAUCGUAAAACUCUGUUAUUAGGGAAGAACAAAUGUGGAAGUAACUAUGCACGUCUUGACGGUACCUAAUCAGAAAGCCACGGCUAACUACGUG